UACGUAGGGGGCUAGCGUUGUUCGGAAUCACUGGGCGUAAAGGGUGCGUAGGCGGGUCUUUAAGUCAGGGGUGAAAUCCUGGAGCUCAACCCCAGAACUGCCUUUGAUACUGAAGACCUUGAGUUCGGGAGAGGUGAGUGGAACUGCGAGUGUAGAGGUGAAAUUCGUAGAUAUUCGCAAGAACACCAGUGGCGAAGGCGGCUCACUGGCCCGGUACUGACGCUGAGGCACGAAAGCGUGGGGAGCAAACAGG
This 253-nucleotide ribosomal RNA is filed under the name uncultured bacterium. RNAcentral describes it as "partial 16S ribosomal RNA". It matches the Rfam family "Bacterial small subunit ribosomal RNA", at positions 524 to 776 of the family's 1533-position model. The record is from RNAcentral.